AACGAACGCUGGCGGCAGGCUUAACACAUGCAAGUCGAACGCCCCGCAAGGGGAGUGGCAGACGGGUGAGUAACGCGUGGGAAUCUACCCAGUUCUACGGAACAACUGAGGGAAACUUCAGCUAAUACCGUAUACGCCCUACGGGGGAAAGAUUUAUCGGAAUUGGAUGAGCCCGCGUUAGAUUAGCUAGUUGAUGGGGUAAUGGCCUACCAAGGCGACGAUCUAUAGCUGGUCUGAGAGGAUGAUCAGCCACACUGGGACUGAGACACGGCCCAGACUCCUACGGGAGGCAGCAGUGGGGAAUAUUGGACAAUGGGCGCAAGCCUGAUCCAGCCAUGCCGCGUGAGUGAUGAAGGCCUUAGGGUUGUAAAGCUCUUUCAGUGGGGACGAUAAUGACGGUACCCACAGAAGAAGCCCCGGCUAACUUCGUGCCAGCCGCCGCCGUAA
Molecule: ribosomal RNA, 447 nt
Filed under: uncultured bacterium
Lineage: Bacteria
Description: partial 16S ribosomal RNA
Rfam family: Bacterial small subunit ribosomal RNA
Source: RNAcentral